RNAcentral lists this ribosomal RNA (88 nucleotides) under Citrobacter freundii. The record is from RNAcentral. Lineage: Bacteria; Pseudomonadati; Pseudomonadota; Gammaproteobacteria; Enterobacterales; Enterobacteriaceae.
CUGACCCCAUGCCGAACUCAGAAGUGAAACGCCGUCGCGCCGAUGGUAGUGUGGGGGCUCCCCAUGCGAGCGUAGGGAACUGCCAGGC